This 376-nucleotide unclassified non-coding RNA is filed under the name uncultured Actinomycetes bacterium. RNAcentral's name for it is "uncultured actinobacterium contains 16S-23S intergenic spacer region". Lineage: Bacteria; Bacillati; Actinomycetota; Actinomycetes. The record is from RNAcentral.
UCCGAUUUGUCACCGGCAGUCUCCCAUGAGUCCCCGACAUUACUCGCUGGCAACAUGGGACAGGGGUUGCGCUUGUUGCGGGACUUAACCCAACAUCUCACGACACGAGCUGACGACAGCCAUGCACCACCUGUAUGGAGCCCAAAAGGACCUCACAUCUCUGUGAGUUUUCUCCAUAUGUCAAACCCAGGUAAGGUUCUUCGCGUUGCAUCGAAUUAAACCACAUCAUCCACCGCUUGUGCGGGUCCCCGUCAAUUCCUUUGAGUUUUAGCCUUGCGGCCGUACUCCCCAGGCGGGGCACUUAGUGCGUUAGCUACGGCACGGGAGGAGUCGACACCUCCCACACCUAGUGCCCAUCGUUUACGGCGUGGACUAC